Molecule: non-coding RNA, 272 nt
Organism: Sesamum indicum (sesame)
Lineage: Eukaryota; Viridiplantae; Streptophyta; Magnoliopsida; Lamiales; Pedaliaceae
Source: RefSeq, a predicted model, not a curated record
UUUGUUAGUGAUAACUGAACGUGAAUAUAUUGGAUCUUAUCUGGAGUACCCCAUCUUCAAAAUCAUUUCAAUGAAGAUUUUUCCUUGUGAUCAUUCUCUUAGGAAUGCUCCAGAAGAACAAAAAACGAUGGAGAGUGAGUUUUCUCACUUGUUGAAUGUUGCAGAGAGAACCUCGGGACUUUAUUUCUCUUACGAUGUGAAUAUAACAUUGAGUGCUCAACGACUGCAUGAUUUGGGUGAUGAAUCAAAAUUGCUUCCCCUUUGGAGACAAG